RNAcentral lists this ribosomal RNA (382 nucleotides) under Caenorhabditis elegans. Its description in RNAcentral is "eukaryotic LSU rRNA". It matches the Rfam family "Eukaryotic large subunit ribosomal RNA", at positions 1 to 372 of the family's 3401-position model. The record is from RNAcentral. Lineage: Eukaryota; Metazoa; Nematoda; Chromadorea; Rhabditida; Rhabditidae.
CUCAACCUGAACUCAGUCGUGAUUACCCGCUGAACUUAAGCAUAUCAUUUAGCGGAGGAAAAGAAACUAAAAAGGAUUCCCUUAGUAACGGCGAGUGAAACGGGAAGAGCCCAGCGCCGAAUCGAUCAGUCUUUGGCUGCUUCGAAAUGUGGCGUAUAGGUGUAAGUUUCCAGCAGUGUCGUAUGUCCGAAGUCCUUACGAUUGAGGCCAUAAACCAGAGAGGGUGCGAGCCCCGUUCUGGAUAGCGGCACUGUUGGUUCGCUUGCUCCUUGGAGUCGGGUUGCUUGAAAGUGCAGCCUAAAGUGGGUGAUAAACUUCAUCUAAGCUAAAUAUCGACUCGAUUGCGAUAGCGAACAAGUACCGUGAGGGAAAGUUGCAAAGG